This is a long non-coding RNA of Zea mays, 518 nucleotides long. RefSeq lists it as uncharacterized. Lineage: Eukaryota; Viridiplantae; Streptophyta; Magnoliopsida; Poales; Poaceae. The record is from RefSeq and is a predicted model, not a curated record. The transcript has 3 exons.
CCAGCCCUCGGCCUGCACGCGCGGAGACACAGGAGAGGAGCUUCCCCGGUCGCCCAGGCCGGCGUGAGCAUGGCUCGCAUUGGCACUGCAACUAAUCACGUAGAGUAAGGGUAAAAAAAACACGACUCUGCCGAAGCCCGGGCAGCAGCAGGCUCCGGUGCUCCUCCUCGCUUCUAUGACACCUCCCCCUCUGCGCCGCCUUCACCCACCGUCGUCGCCACCUCUCUCGCUGCGGAACAAGACGCUGAGGAAGAAGAGCCGGUACGGAGAUGGCAAGAAGACGCAGAGCAGUACGUACGUCUGCGAUCUGCUUCUAUCUCAGAUGUAAAAUGUGACGACCCAAAAGAGGAGGACAAGGUAUAGCAAACCAAAAGGCUCGAAUCAAAAAGAUAACUCAAGCAGACGAGGAUGUUGGAAAAUAUGCACUAGUGGUGCCUGUUUUAGUCUGUUAGUUCUGCAAGAAUCAUUGUGCCUUCGUAUUAUUAUGUACAUAUAUUUUUUCCACAAUAAUCUAAGUA